Molecule: ribosomal RNA, 465 nt
Filed under: uncultured bacterium
Lineage: Bacteria
Description: partial 16S ribosomal RNA
Rfam family: Bacterial small subunit ribosomal RNA
Source: RNAcentral
CCUACGGGAGGCUGCAGUAGGGAAUCUUCCACAAUGGGCGCAAGCCUGAUGGAGCAACACCGCGUGAGUGAAGAAGGGUUUCGGCUCGUAAAGCUCUGUUGUUGGAGAAGAACGUGCGUGAGAGUAACUGUUCACGCAGUGACGGUAUCCAACCAGAAAGUCACGGCUAACUACGUGCCAGCAGCCGCGGUAAUACGUAGGUGGCAAGCGUUAUCCGGCUUUAUUGGGCGUAAAGCGAGCGCAGGCGGUUGCUUAGGUCUGAUGUGAAAGCCUUCGGCUUAACCGAAGAAGUGCAUCGGAAACCGGGCAACUUGAGGGCAGAAGAGGACAGUGGAACUCCAUGUGUAGCGGUGGAAUGCGUAGAUAUAUGGAAGAACACCAGUGGCGAAGGCGGCUGUCUGGUCUGCAACUGACGCUGAGGCUCGAAAGCAUGGGUAGCGAACAGGAUUAGAUACCCUGGUAGUC